Molecule: unclassified non-coding RNA, 231 nt
Filed under: plant metagenome
Description: partial contains small subunit ribosomal RNA, internal transcribed spacer 1, and 5.8S ribosomal RNA
Source: RNAcentral
UCUCCGUUGGUGAACCAGCGGAGGGAUCAUUACUGAGUUACCGCUCUACAACCCUUUGUGAACAUACCUAACUGUUGCUUCGGCGGGCAGAGGUCCCUCGCGGAUCUCUCCCGGCAACGCCCUCACGGGCGGAGCGCCCGCCGGAGGAUACCAAACUCUAUUUUAACGACGUUUCUUCUGAGUGGCACAAACAAAUAAUUAAAACUUUUAACAACGGAUCUCUUGGUUCUG